This 88-nucleotide transfer RNA is filed under the name Dictyoglomus sp. NZ13-RE01. Its description in RNAcentral is "tRNA-Leu". It matches the Rfam family "tRNA". From Rfam's summary of the family: Transfer RNA (tRNA) molecules are approximately 80 nucleotides in length. Their secondary structure includes four short double-helical elements and three loops (D, anti-codon, and T loops). Further hydrogen bonds mediate the characteristic L-shaped molecular structure. tRNAs have two regions of fundamental functional importance: the anti-codon, which is responsible for specific mRNA codon recognition, and the 3' end, to which the tRNAs corresponding amino acid is attached (by aminoacyl-tRNA synthetases). tRNAs cope with the degeneracy of the genetic code in two manners: having more than one tRNA (with a specific anti-codon) for a particular amino acid; and 'wobble' base-pairing, i.e. permitting non-standard base-pairing at the 3rd anti-codon position. The record is from RNAcentral. Lineage: Bacteria; Pseudomonadati; Dictyoglomota; Dictyoglomia; Dictyoglomales; Dictyoglomaceae.
GCGGAUGUGGCGGAAUGGCAGACGCGCAAGACUCAGGAUCUUGUGGGGUAAACUCCCCGUGGGGGUUCAAAUCCCCCCAUCCGCACCA